GCCAGGGUGGCUUAGUCGGUUAAGUGUCCGACUUUGGUUCAGGUCAUGAUCUCACGGUUCGUGGGUUCAAACCCCGCAUCGGGCU
Molecule: transfer RNA, 85 nt
Filed under: Felis catus (domestic cat)
Lineage: Eukaryota; Metazoa; Chordata; Mammalia; Carnivora; Felidae
Rfam family: tRNA
About the family: Transfer RNA (tRNA) molecules are approximately 80 nucleotides in length. Their secondary structure includes four short double-helical elements and three loops (D, anti-codon, and T loops).
Source: Rfam by way of RNAcentral